UUAAGUUCAGCGGGUAUCCCUACCUGAUCCGAGGUCAAACUCAUUAAGUAGCUGGGGGGCCAUUGACAGCUGGCGGAGACUUGCAGUCAUCAGGCGAACAGUAAUUAUCACGCCUGGGGACAUGGAAGACUUUUCCGCUGAGGGAUUCCAGGGGAGAUGAAGACAUCUUCCCCCAAGACAAGCAAAACCAUGCUUGAGUA
This 200-nucleotide unclassified non-coding RNA is filed under the name Pezizales sp. RNAcentral's name for it is "partial internal transcribed spacer 2". Lineage: Eukaryota; Fungi; Ascomycota; Pezizomycetes; Pezizales. The record is from RNAcentral.